GAUGAACGCUGGCGGUGUGCCUAAUACAUGCAAGUCGAGCGAACAGACGAGGAGCUUGCUCCUCUGACGUUAGCGGCGGACGGGUGAGUAACACUUGGAUAACCUACCUAUAAGACUGGGAUAACUUCGUGAAACCGGAGCUAAUACCGGAUAAUAUAUUGAACCGCAUUGUUCAAUAGUGCAAAACGGUUUUGCUGUCACUUAUAGAUGGAUCCGCGCCGCAUGAGCUAGUUGGUAAGGUAACGGCUUACCAAGGCGACGCUGCGUAGCCGACCUGAGAGGGUGAUCGGCCACACGGGAACUGAGACACGGUCCAGACUCCUACGAGAGGCAGCAGUAGGGAAUCUUCAGCAAUGGGCGAAAGCCUGACGGAGCAGCGCCGCGUGAGUGAUGAAGGUCUUCGGAUCGUAAAACUCUGUUAUUAGGGAAGAACAAAGGUGUAAGUAACUAUGCACGUCUUGACGGUACCUAAUCAGAAAGCCACGGCUAACUACGUG
RNAcentral lists this ribosomal RNA (497 nucleotides) under uncultured bacterium. RNAcentral describes it as "partial 16S ribosomal RNA". It matches the Rfam family "Bacterial small subunit ribosomal RNA", at positions 28 to 507 of the family's 1533-position model. The record is from RNAcentral.